GAGGAGGGAACCCAGACUGACGUGCAGACCGGCUCCUGACUCCUGGGGGAUGCAGCUACGGGAGCAUCCCGUCACCGUGAGCCCGCCUGCUCCGGGGAGCGCUCGGCCUGCCAAGGUAGCCGCGGCCGGCCCACCACAUCCCAGCACACCGCCCUCCGCCGCCGCAGGGAACGAGAUCGGGGUACUCCGAAGCCGGCUCACCGUUCAGGCCCACCGUGGCCACCAAAGGCCGGGCUGCGGCCUGGCCACUCAGGGACUCGCGGCACAGGAAGGGUCGCUUCACAUCCAGAACAGGUGGCUCCGAGGCGGCGGGCACCGCGCCUUGCAGCAGAGGACGCAGCGCGCCCGCCACCCCGCGGGAAGUGGCCGAUAGGACGGGCGCGAACGGGCCCGAGCGGGCGGCGACCGACAACAUGGCGACAGCUGCUCAAACCACCUCGUCGGUCACAGGGACGACCUUUCGUUCGAACGACGGCCCGAAGAGGAGCGGGAGGCGCAGGGUUUGUGACGUCAGCGCGACGCCGGAAAGGGCGUUUCGCAAGGUUGAGCGAAUCGGGAGGGACGCCGCGUUGGGGGCGUGGCUUCGGGCGCAGGUUGGGGCCCGGGCAGGAAAGGGCAGGGCCUGGAGACACUCUGGUGUCUGACUCGGUCGCCCUGCCCCAGGAAAACCGAAGUCGGGAGGGAUUUCUUGUGGUCGUGAUUGAGAUCCUUCAUUUAGGGCAAAACCUUAAAUCGGGGACGACCGAGGCAUGAGAAAAAAAAAAACAACAGGCUACUACUACUUCCUAACGCCUAUCACCUAGAAUAAAUACCAACCGCUUUUUGUCUUUUGCCAAGACGAUUUUGAUCUUCUUACAACAAAAGAGCCAGAAACCUAUAUGCAAGGUUUGACAAAAACAAAACAAAACAAAACAAAACAAAACGGUGGCUUACGAUUAUUCAUGAUCUACUACGCUUUUGAUUUGGUAGUUUCCUUCGUUGUUCAUUUGUAAUUAUGAUCUUGAUGAAAUAACACUAUUGAUACCAGCAUUUUACCAGUGAAGGACCUGGUCCUUAGACCCUUUGCUCUGCAUAGAUUGCCAGGAAGCAGUGGAGUAUUGUAGACCCCUGAGGGGUUUUUGUUUGUUUGUUUGUUUGUUUGUUUCUGAACAAGUGGGGUUUCCCAAGUGAUGUUCAGCAGUACAAAAGGGAGGGACUCUUACUCUCCUUCACAUAGUGAGAAAACUGCCAACUUUCUAACUUCUCUUUCAGUUCUGACUACACCACUAACAAAGUCUCUGUGAGGUGCUAAUAAACGUUAAUCCCUCUUACACUUGAAAAUCUCCACUUUUCCAAGUAGAACAAACCUUGAUUUCAAGUUCACACAGACAAUUGAGUUUAGAGAUGGCAUUCACUUUCAAAGAAUGAAGUUCUCAUCCAUACAACUUUCUCUAUACCAAAUACUUCGUUUAUUCUUUUAGGGUUUAAAAAGAAAAAACAGUAAAAAAAAAAAACUAAGAAUUUAAGCACUGCACACUCUGGCAUGAUUGUGAUAUGAUGCUUGUAUAAUACAUGGACUCUAGGACCUUGGCUGGUUUCUAAACCUUUGGAAUUGUAAAACAAUGUAGUUGUGUUGUUUUAAGACACUAUGUUUGUUAUAGCAGCAAUGUAAAACAACACCCAGGAGAUCCGGGCCCUCACAGAGGAAUGAUUGCAGGUGUCCUUAGCCAGGGAGGAUACUUGCUGCCUAGUCUGGGUCCUUUCUUGUCACUGUCACUUCAUUCAGUUAUGUUCUGAACAGGGACAGGACCUGGGAUAACCCCAGAGAAGCAUGCACUCCAUGUAGAUCUCACCUAAGGAACCAGGAGUGAAUAUCCACCAUGGCAGAGAUCAAUCUAACCUUUUCUCUCUCAGCUGAAUCUCCAGAUGGAAGUCUUCACCCCAAACUGCCCCUGCCUGUGGCUCUGUCUCAUGAUGGAACCAAAUCCCCAGCUAGAUGCCAACUGCUGCUGGUGGUGCCAGUGCUUGACAAGAGAUGGACCAUGGAGCUUUCCAGAUGCAUAUGACACCAUAUACAUCUGAGCUGGCCCUGGACAGACAGCCUCAGCUGAGAAACCACCCAACAAGGACGAGCCAGGGCCAGGCAUAGGUCUGUUCGUCAUCAGUUUUUGAGGAUGUCAGAGGCCAGUUCUCCUACAAGAGCCAGGAUGGCCCAUUGCAUCUUACUGAAACGUUUUCAAGCUUUGGGCUUCAGACCUCUGACUUGGGUUCAGUUCACCUGCUUUUCAAAACUAACAGAAACCUGCUAAGUUCCUUUCCUACUGUUGCUAUCUUGGUUGUGCUGCUAUCACUAAAUUUCUAAGACUAGUUAGUUACUUAUAUGUGUUUGCAUUUGUGUCCUCUACACACCAUGGCACAAGUGUCCCAUCCUGUACAUUUGGAGGUCAGGGGACACCUUGUGGGAGUCGGUCCUCUCCUAUCUCACAGGUCUUGAGGAUAGACCUCAGAUAGACCAUCCACCUUUACCUGCUGAACCAUCUCACCAGCCAUUUUCUUUAAAAUUUCUUGAGACUGGAUAAUUUUCAAAGAAUC
RNAcentral lists this long non-coding RNA (2571 nucleotides) under Mus musculus (house mouse). RNAcentral describes it as "long non-coding RNA chr13:30544832-30547403". Lineage: Eukaryota; Metazoa; Chordata; Mammalia; Rodentia; Muridae. The record is from RNAcentral.